This 253-nucleotide ribosomal RNA is filed under the name uncultured bacterium. RNAcentral describes it as "partial 16S ribosomal RNA". It matches the Rfam family "Bacterial small subunit ribosomal RNA", at positions 524 to 776 of the family's 1533-position model. The record is from RNAcentral.
UACAGAGGUCCCAAGCGUUGUUCGGAUUCACUGGGUUUAAAGGGUGCGUAGGAGGGCAGGUAAGUCAGUGGUGAAAUCUCCAAGCUUAACUUGGAAACUGCCGUUGAUACUAUCUGUCUUGAAUACCGUGGAGGUGAGCGGAAUAUGUCAUGUAGCGGUGAAAUGCUUAGAUAUGACAUAGAACACCAAUUGCGAAGGCAGCUCGCUACACGAAUAUUGACUCUGAGGCACGAAAGCGUGGGGAUCAAACAGG